AAUAAAUUAUACAUUAUAUUUAUAUCCACAAAUUGUAUAUAAUCCUCUUAUCGUGCAUUUCCAUUAAUGUCCACUUAACUCUCGAACAACGUGUGUGUUCCAAUAAUUAUUCUCUCGCGAUCCGAUGUCACUUCAGAAAUUGAACACCACCCUGGUAUUCUGAUCCCUCGAGGGUCUUCGAUACCUUCCACUCGAAUCACAAAAAGAAUCGAUGAAUAAAAUUUGUAUCGAUAACUAGAGAGCGCCAAGGUAGAAAGUUCCUUAUACAAUUGCGAUCCAUUGUCAUUGUCUUAAUUUAAAUACCAAAGAAAUCAAGAAGAAAAACAAAUUAAAAUUUUUAUUAUGUUUAACAGUUACGAAUAUUACAAAAUGAUUCCAAGAAAUGAUUCUAGAUACACGUAAGGAAAAUUUACGACUUCAUAUAUGUAUAAGUGCUUGCACCAGGUACUUUGCAGAUUUUUUUUUUAGAGCGGAAGUGGAGCACCUUCCGACCGAUAUACGCAACAACGUCAAAGUGGGUGGCGAUGAGGAUGUAGGUAGGGAUACAGACGAUGCUACGGGGAGUAGGCAAUAGCAUGGGGAUAGGCCGUAAUUGGUAUAAAAUCAUCGAGCAAACACAUCGGACAAGACAGCCUGAGGGUUGUGGGCGGUGUUACGUGCCGUUGCCUUGGUAACCAUGGGGCGACUCUGCUAAAGCACCCCUUCGCCUUGAUUGCGCACAGGCCCAUCCGUUCAUGUACGUCUAAUGGCGGAACGAGCGUUCAGAGAACUGAUGGCGAUUAUAAAGAGGCACGUGUCUCUCUUCAUGAGAGAGGCCCCAUGCAGGCAAGCACGCGGCCACCGAAAGCUAACCCAAGAAUCGUACAAGGCACAAUUAAUUUAUUGUUCGUGCCGGUAUAGUGACAAUCGAGGGAACGCCGGAGAAAAACAGGAUCGUUGUUUUCUUCUAUUUCGUCCGAGGGGUUCAGGGAACGGAUGCUGCAAGCCGAUCCUCGGCUUUGUCAACGGGGAUAAUUGUCAACGAUUUUUGCAGAAUGGGAGAUCUCUAAAAAAAGAUAUCUUUUUCUAUCCGAGAAUUAAACGGUUCAAGAUGGAUGCAUAAUAUAUAAUUUAUAAUAUUUAUAAGAGAUCCAACGAGACAUUAAAGAGUAUUUCCAGCAAGCUCGUAGUCAAGCUUAAUCUCCAUAAAUUCGUAAGGGAGAAGAAAUAUAUCGCACUCUUGGUUUAAUGUUAUCUGCUUUUCGCCGGUAUCUACAGCGAAUUAGAUCGGAGGUAAUGAGAAAUUUUUCUCAAAAAAAAAAAAAAAAAAAGAAGAAAAAGAAAAGAAAAAGAAUUGUCUCGUUAUUUAUAAAGUA
Molecule: long non-coding RNA, 1355 nt
Organism: Apis laboriosa (Himalayan honeybee)
Lineage: Eukaryota; Metazoa; Arthropoda; Insecta; Hymenoptera; Apidae
Exons: 3
Source: RefSeq, a predicted model, not a curated record